Molecule: ribosomal RNA, 472 nt
Filed under: uncultured bacterium
Lineage: Bacteria
Description: bacterial SSU rRNA
Rfam family: Bacterial small subunit ribosomal RNA
Source: RNAcentral
UGGGGAAUUUUGGACAAUGGGCGCAAGCCUGAUCCAGCAAUGCCGCGUGAGUGAAGAGGGCCUUCGGGUUGUAAAGCUCUUUUGUCAGGGAAGAAACGGCCUCAGCUAAUAUCUGGGGCUAAUGACGGUACCUGAAGAAUAAGCACCGGCUAACUACGUGCCAGCAGCCGCGGUAAUACGUAGGGUGCAAGCGUUAAUCGGAAUUACUGGGCGUAAAGCGUGCGCAGGCGGUUUUGUAAGUCUGUCGUGAAAGCCCCGGGCUCAACCUGGGAAUUGCGAUGGAGACUGCAAGGCUUGAAUCUGGCAGAGGGGGGUAGAAUUCCACGUGUAGCAGUGAAAUGCGUAGAGAUGUGGAGGAACACCGAUGGCGAAGGCAGCCCCCUGGGUCAAGAUUGACGCUCAUGCACGAAAGCGUGGGGAGCAAACAGGAUUAGAUACCCAAGUAGUCCCUGAGCGGGCUGGCAAGGCGCAU